Molecule: transfer RNA, 65 nt
Filed under: Binodoxys communis
Lineage: Eukaryota; Metazoa; Arthropoda; Insecta; Hymenoptera; Braconidae
Description: tRNA-Pro
Source: RNAcentral
CAAAAAAUAAUUUAAUUAAAAUAUUAACUUUGGAAGUUAAAAAUAUAUAUAAAAUAUUUUUUUGA